CCGCGUAGACACAAACCGCCUGGGUCACCAUAAAGCCACUCUUCGGGGAAAUGCUCCACAAGGCGAAAGGACACCCUGCUGUCGCGACCUUGCCUCUUGACCCCUGCCAUAGGGAGAUAGAGCACAAGAUCGCAACCGAAGGUCGCGAACGUCACUCAGGUGGGAGUGGCUCAAGGCAUAAAAACACAGAAUCAAGAGCAAACCAUGAAAAAAAAAACUAGAAUAAAUCCAUUCAACAGACAAAUGUUAAUUCAAAAGUACAAUCAUCUCAUUCAUUAAUUAUUCAAAAGUUCUUACAAUUCCUUCAAGGCACUACUGGCCCAAAAUACACAAAAUAGAAUAUACAUCGUAAUGGUGAGACCACCAACACAUACUAGGAAGGUCUUCGUAAGACGACUUUUCAAACGUCUCAACUUCAAGCUUGAAACCCCCAAACGGCUACUCUCCUAUAGAACAAAUGCCAACGCCCUUCACUCUACAGUUAUGUAAUAAGACGAAAUGAGCAAACAGCCCAGUAAGCAAAUCUACACUAUUGCAUUCCAACUAGUAUAUCAGUGGUAACAAUAUGCAAUGUACACAUAUUCACAACGUAUCAAGUGAAGUCCUCUAAUAUGUUUUCCAAUAUUCUAACGAUAUUAUGAUGAAAUAGUCUAAUAUACAGCACAUGAGUCAUAAAUCACUCCAUUAUAGACAAUAUAGUAGGGGCAACAGAACAUAGUUACAAAACUAGUAAAGCCUACUCUCGAAGUAGAAGUUCCAUUGCUCAGGUUAAGCCAAUUCUGUCGCUUGAAACCUCUUCCCUCGUUCAGGAGGAAGGACAAUGACAAGUAGGUGCAUCACUUCUUAAUGCCCUCACACACACACACAUCCCCAGUGCCCUUUGGGGUUUUCGAUAAGCAGUGGCCUUGAAAGACACGACCCUCUCCAUAUGCCCUUCUGGUGAGAGAGUGUUACACUACUAUUGGGUGACCCAAUGCGUGGCGCCCGUAUAGAUCUGGGGGGCACAACCCUCCCAAAUAUUCACAUCCUGACUCCCAUCCUAUCAUGGGGAGUUAGGGAAAGAUCUUAGCUGUCAACACCAUCAUUCACACAGUAGGUGCCCAAUCACAUAUGCUAUAUAAGCAACACGGUACCAUCAUCCACGCAGUAGGUACCCACUCACAUUACACAUAAACAGAACGGAACCAUCAUUUACACAGUAGGUACCCAUUCACAUUACACAUAAACAACACGGUAUCGUAAUUCACACAGUAUGUGCCCAAUCACAUAUGUCACAUAAGCAGCAUUAUUAUCACAUUAUAAUGAUAUCAGUAGCUCAACAAGACAGUAGCAAUUUCACAUUAUGAUGGUGGCAUAUCACAUUUAAACAGUAUCACAAUGACAGUACCAUAGUAAUAGUAACAUUAUUCAAGUUAAGCCUUACUGCGCAAUUUCUUGCCAUCAAGGGCAAUGACGUGCGCUUACCAUUAGGGUCGUAACUUGUGGACUGUUUAGAGUUUAAAGACGGAUCCAAAACUAAUUUUGAACUAAACACACCUAUCGUUCAAAUAGGAUGGUUUUAAGACAAUUGGACCUCGUUUGACCUCUUAAAGGUUCAAAGAGGUGAGGGUUUACCGGCUGCACCCUGUGGUAAAUAGGGGACAGUGGCAUACCCUGCUUCAUAUCACUAUAACUCCCAAACCGUGAAGGAACUUGUGACAGUUUCAAAAUCAAAGUUUAAGCCAAUACAUAUAUAUUUCUAACAAAGCUAAUUUGAAAGCAUUUAGAUUCCAUUUGUUGGUACAAAGAUUCAUACCAAACAAGGUGAUAGUUCUUAAUUUUAUCAACACUGCCCACAGUGACAUACCUUCAUAAAACGAAGUAUAACUUUCAAUAUAAGAAGAAUUUCAAAACAUUUUCUCAUGAAAAUUUUAGCCCAUUCAAAGAUAUUUCAAACAACUAUAGUUUGACAAAAAAUGGACAUCUUUUGGUUAGUUAAAAUCAAUGACGAUAGUAGCAUUAGUGGAAAAAUCUAGGAAAACAGUCAACAAUGAUAUACCCUCUCAUUUCGAAACAUAACUUCAUUUUCAUAAAGAAUUUCAACAGUGGAAAAAAAUGAACAUUUUUACUAUACUCACACAUCUUUCCAAUGGCAGUGAUUUUAAGUAAAUCAGACGCCAUUCGACUGUUGAAAAGCCUUUUUCAAGAAGACACAUAUUUUCGGAAUUUCACAGUAGCAUAUAACAUGUCUCAAGAACACAUUCCAUGACCUUCAUUCCAGGGUGAAGAACAUGAUAGUAACUAUUCUCUCACAAUGUACACACAUAACAUGCAUUUCUUACAUAAUCUAAGAAUCAUACAUUCAUUCUCAACAUCCGCCAUUAUCAUAGAACAAAAGUCCCAAUUUUCAGUGAAUAAGACAAGGAUUUUCUACAUCACAUACACUUUCAUUUCUCAUUUCACAUGCAUAAAUUCACAUGCAUCCUUAUAACUAUCCACUUACAUGAACAACAAUGGUGCCUUCUCCAAUCCUCUUCUCACAGCUCUCACCCGCCUAACAAUGGCUCCCCUCCAACAGUCACUUCUUCAAACCUUGUACCUUAGAGAGAGAGAGAUGAAGUAAGAAUAAGUGGCUUAGGUGAGAGAAGAGGCUUAAGUACUCUUGUGUUUGAGGUGGCUGACAAGUGUCACCAAGAGGCUCAAAAUUCUGGACAAGUGGCUCUCAAAUCAGCAUGCAUUUAACAAGUGGCACUCAUAAUCCAUGCAGGUCAGAAACACAAUCGCCGCAACACAGCCGGCGCUACGUACACAGUGACACAGCCGGUGCUAGGCACUCAACACAGCCGGCGCUGGUCUCUUCACAGCCUGUGCUGCACACAACACAGCCGAUACUACACACUCAACAACACCGCCGGCAGAAACACACUCGGCGAUAGCAUACUUCACAACAUAGCCGGCGCUCCUUCCUUGACGCGUGUGGUGUUGCGCUCUUCAUUGCCGCAUGCUCUACUAUCUUUCCUUCCUCCUUAUCCUGCCAUGCACUCUAACUGACGGGGAAAAAUCAGGGUUGUCACUCAUUCCCCUCUAAAAAAUGAUUUUGUCCUCAAAAUCGUUAAUCGAAUAAAUGGGGGGAGUACAAGGCCCAGAUUUCAUCUUCUCACUCCCACAUUGAUUCUUCCCUCUAAUGAUACUGCCAUAAAACCCGAACUAGAGGAAUCUCUUUGUGACGCAAUAUCUGAAUUCUUCUAUCCGGUAUCUCAAUAGGUUGUUCUAUAAUCGUUAAAUCCUCCCUGAUUGAGAUUGGCUCAUACUCCAAAACGUGGGAUGGAUCGGGCUGAUACAUUCUCAAUAAUGAUACAUGAAACACAUUAUGGAUAUUAGCUAGCUCGGGUAGUAGGGCCAAUCGAUAUGCCACACCUCCAAUCCUUUCUAAAAUCUCAAAGGGCCCAAUAAAUUGUGGACCCACUUUCCCCUUCUUACCAAAUCUCAUUAUGCCCUUAGUUGGUGAUACCUUCAGAAAAACCCGAUCACUCACUUCAAAUUCAAGGUCCCUUCUCUGAUUGUCGGCAUAACUCUUCUACCGACUUUAGGCUAUCUUGAGCCGCUCUCGAAUUAAGGAAUAUUUUCUGAGGUUACUUGAACAAUCUCUGGCCCUAAAAGUUUUCUUUCAGGGCGUGAGCUCGAUGAGCACAAUGAUUUGGAAGGAUCGUUGGUGUGCCCUUUGACCACGUGACCUCAAGAAGAAAUAUUUGACGUUUACCUACUCCUCGAAGGAUAGGCAAUGCCAGACUGUCUACUUCUUGCCACUCACAUGUCCCUCAAAAGACAGGGAAUGCCAAAGAGGGCCAACUGUAGACGCCCCAUUUUAAAUAUGGCAAAUGCUAUGAUUCCUGAACCUUUAAAAUCACACUUAACUUAGUAAACCCAAAUCCAUAGUUCACACAACCUAUCUUGUGACCCGAAACCAGUCCGCCUGCCCAAAACCCUGCAGAAACCCUGUUUUGACCCAAAUUCCUGUGAAUGCCCUGUUUUACCAAAACAAUAAUUACAAAUAGUAAAAAAAUCUGUUUUGACCCAAAUUUUCUCUAAGAGCUUCACAAGAGGCUGAGAACACACUCAAAGUUUAAAAAUUCAAUUUUGACCAAGUUUGACACAAGCGACACUAGCCGUGUCGCCCAGCCUAAACUAGGCGAGACCGCCUAGUGUAGCCCAGAUUUGAGCGCCUAGAUCUGAGACCCUAAAAAUGCUUAUUUUUGGAUGGGGAUGCGUUUGUUACGUGCAUAUAUCCUUCCCAGGGGAUUUAAACCCUAUGAAGCCUCUUUUCGUGGCCAUUUGACAGGGGGCAGAGAUCAAAAACCUGAGAGAUAGCUUCAGAAAACCCUAGCCUCCUGACACCCUAACCCUUAAGCCUGAGGAAACCUAGACCUAAGCCACAACAACCCUAGAUCAAAACUAGACUUAGGGCACAACCCUAUAUCAGAACUAGACUUAGGGCACAAUAACCCUAGAUUUAACCCUUUACACCAGAUACUUAUUGGUCGACAUCCGAAUCAGAGAGGCAAAAGAGGACCGGUUCUGAUACGAGCAAGCCCUAGAAGGCUCGGGAGUCUUGGGCCAUCCGGCCCGGUUCGGCAUCAUUUCCUUAUAUUUUACUUCUUUUAUUUUAUUGUUUUCAUUUCAUUUUAAUCUUUUCAUUUGCUUAAAAAUUGUAUUUUGUAAUGCCUUGGAUCAUGCUGGCGCUACCAUAGAUCUAAGAGUAGAUCUGCUCGUUUCCAAGCAGAUCUGGCCUCAGAUCAGAAUUCGAUUUGUCCUAUAUUCUUUACCACUUUAUUUCUUUCAUUUUCAUAAGUUUAAGGUGUUCAAAUUCGACAGAUCUUCAUCUGAGAUCUAUCAUAUUUUCAUCAUAAAUAGUUACGAUUAAUUAUUACUCGUUCGUUACGGUUAGCUAACUCCAUGAUAGCUAUCACCCAUGAGUUGCAAUCAAUUAUCGCCUGUAAGUUGCAAUCAACUAUCGCCUGUAAGUUGCAGUCAACUAUUGUUCAUAAGUUGCAAUCAACAAUCGCUCAAGAGCUGCAGUCAACUAUCACUCGUUAGUCGUAGUUAACUGUCGCUCGUAAGUUUCAGUUAACUGUCGCUCGUAAGUUGAAAUUAACUAUCGCUCGUAACUUGUAGUUAACUAUCGCUCGUAAGUUGCAGUUAACUAUCACCCGUGAGUUACACUAUUCACCGUCUCUUAAGCCUUUAUAGAAAUUUUCACAAAAUUUCGGCAAAGCUUCCGCAUGAGGGUUUGAAUCCCAAAAGAAAUCUCGUAUGCCCAAUUAAUCGAAAGUCAAGUCGGGGCAAGAGCCCGCAGCUAUGAAUAAGAUUAAAGAAGCGGGUUUGGUUUUCUUCCUUAUGCCCAAUUAAUUGAAAGUCAUGUCGGGGCAAAAGCCUAGAAUAGUGACUAACAUUAAAGGAGCGGGACUUGUUUUCUUCCUUACUCGUCCUACAACCACUCGGUUUGCUAUACUGUAAAAUGAUAAUAGGAAAGACCAAGAGGCGAGAGAAACAUGCUUUGAUACCACUUAUUGAGCUCACCCAGUUAAAGCCGUCUCACACAAAUGCGGAUGCGUGGAACGGGUCCAGGAAAUAUGGGAAGCAAAAUGUAAGCCACAAUCGAUGUGUGUGUUUGAGUGGGAAAAAAAGCAAUAAAGCAAGUAAAUCUUACUGGCACCGGAUUUACUUUAUUCACCUUUUCAGGCUACGUCCACGGGAGAAAGGAGAUCAAUCCACUAUAAACUUCACAGCUUACAAUGGUCAUCCAAGAAAACAACCUUUCUUGGGUUCUCUAGUUUCUUCUAAAGAUUUUCUCUCUAAGUUUUCUUCUCUAAAGUUUGUCUUUCUUUCAGAGGCUUAUUUUCUUUUACAGAAGUUUUCUCUCUUUAAAAGAAAAAAUUAUCCCUUCUCUCUUCUCUCUCUCUCUCUCUUCUUCUCCUUCUUCUUAUUUGCAAAAGAAUGAUCUCUAUAUUUUUCCCAAUACAAUCAAGAAGAGUCAACCAUCUCUCUCUCUCUUCUUCUCCUCAGAAGGAGGCUUCCUGUAUCUCUGAUUCAUCAAGAAGAGUCCGCCCAAAAAUGGCCCAAAAAGGUGGCUUUGGCUAAACCAACCAAAAGCUACCUAGCCUCUCAUGUAAUUUGUAUCUGUAUGGACUCAAAGGGAUAACAACUAAAUUAGAAAUGUAUCCAUAACCUCCUAAAAAGGAGGUCUAUCUCUCUCUCCCUUUAUGGAAAGAGAUAUGAGAACAUUUUCCCAUACUAAAACAAAUGUGAGAACCUUAUUUUGUGGUAUGGUGACUUGGUCAACAAGUCAUCUCUUCCACAUUCUAAGACUACCUUUUUAAGUAGGGACAAUACCAUUGGUGUCCAUCUCUCAUGGGAUGGGACACCCAACAAGUUCAACUCUAAUCCAUUUCACCAAGUAUUUUGAUCCUUGAUAUAAAAUAAUUGGUGCAAUAUCAUAAUUGUCAUUGCCCAAAGUGACUCCUAAAAUAAAUUGCCUACAUGCUACAAGUACACAUUCUACAAAGCAAAUCCAAAUUUUAAGGCGAAACAGGGGGUCAAGGGAGCAUAUUCAACAUGUAUGGUCUUAUGAUUGCACUCGUUGUCUUGAGAUACUAAAACCACAUAGAUAUAAAUAUGGAGACUUAUGGCUUCACUGAGGGUAUGGUCCUUAAUCGAGUAGAAUGACAGACUAGGAUUCGUUUAGCAGAUCUCAAAUAGUUGGGAAAACGCUCUAAUGAUGAUGAUCAUAAUGAUGUCUCUAAUCCUGACUCCUGAUUCCAAAAUUAUACCAUUUUGAAAGUACGGAUCUCAAUUUGCAACUUUGAGGCUAAAAGCUAGCAUUGUAAAGCUGAGGUUGCAACCAUUAUUUGCACGGCUGCACAACACAUCUUAGAGCUGCACAUGCAUUCUCUAUGCGGGCUUGGAUAUACAUGUUGGCCACAUUAGUUCCGCAUAGCCACAUCCGUGCAACCAUAUGGGUGCAUUGAAGUUGUAUGCUAUGUGCAAGCAACAGCAGCUGCAUGUAGUAUGGUGCAGCCUCUAGUCAGCCCCUCACAUGUAUGCUAGUUGCACGUGUAUGCACCUCCAUAUAUGUAAUGUGCUUACACAUGCACAUGCAACAAUAGAAAGUGUGAUGCUCCAUGCCCACCACAAGGGAUCACUAUGCUAGACAAGGUAGUAGGGCUGUGUGUAGCACCAGCGUACGAUGGCUGUAUGGUCUACAAGAUUACCAUGCUAGAUCACAUGGUCUAGUGUGUCUUUGUGCAAGCACCUAGAUCACGCUCACCACUCUAGUGUGGUCCUCGAGUGGAGCCUUGCAACCAAAGUGUAGGAAUGCACAUUUUGUGCACACUCGAACAUAUGCAUCCGUGCCCCAUGAACCCCCAGCACAUAAUAUACUGCCCCCACACCCACUAACUACUCGAUACUCCCUUUUUAGAAUUCAAGAAUUCGAUGCAAGCUCCCUUAGGUUGGCUUCAUGAUUGUUAGAACCAGCGUUUUAAAAAACGCCGAGUCAAACCGGACUCGCCCGGUUCGACUCGAAAAUAGUGAAAAAAGAACCGGAUCGUCCAAAAAUCGGAAAUCGUCCGGUUCUAGAGAGAACCGGACGAUUCUGUACAGUGAAUCGCCGAUUCACUGUAUGGAAUCGGCGAGUCCAAACAGUGAAUCGACGAUUCCGUACGGUAUUUUUUUUUUUUUUUUUUUUUUUUUGGUAAUCCAUGAUAGAUUUUUUUGUAAUACUUGAUCGANNNNNNNNNNNNNNNNNNNNGGUAAUCCAUGAUAGAUUUUUUUGUAAUACUUGAUCGAUUUUUUUGUAAUCCAUGAUCGAAUUUUUUGGUUUUUUGUAACCCAUAAUAGAAUUUUUUGUAAUCCAUGAUCGAAAUGUUUGUUUUCUUUUCUUGUAAUCCAUGAUCGAUUUUUUUGUUUUUUUUGUUUUUUUUUGUAACCCAUGAUAGAAUUGUUUGUAAUCCAUGAUCGAAUGUUUUGUAAUACAUGAUCGAAAUGUUUGUUUUUUUUUUGUAAUCCAUGAUCGAAAUGUUUGUUUGUUUUUUUUUAAUCCAUGAUUGAAUUUUUUGUUGUUUGUUUUUUUUGUAACCCACGAUAGAGUUUUUUAUAAUCCAUGAUUGAAUUUUUUGUAAUCCAUGAUCGAACUAUUUUUUUCUUUUUUUGUAAUCCACGAUUGAAUUUUUUGUUUUUUUUGUAAUCCAUGAUCGAAUUUUAUGUAAUUCAUGAUCGAAUUUUAUGUAAUCCAUGAUCGAAUUUUAUGUAAUCCAUGAUUGAAUUUUUUGAAAAUUUGUGAUUUUUUUUGUUUAAUCCAUGAUCGAAUUUUUUUUGUAAUCCAUGAUAGAACUUUUUGAAAAUUUGUGAUUUUUUUUUUAAUCCAUGAUCGAUUUUUUUGAAAAUUUGUUUUUUUUUUUUUAAUCCAUAUUAUUCAAAGAGAAAACGAGAGAGAUGAUGAUUCUGAGGCCACCCUAUCUCAGCCAUAUUAUUCACAUAUCGAGUCCCAAUAGCAACAGUGUAGGGAUGAGCACGAAAUACUGUAAAUUAAAUGCUGAAUGGCGGUUCAUGCAGGGAAAGAACAUAUCAAUAUUCGCAUAUUCAUUCAAAAACAUGAAAAUUCUUAAUGGAGUACCCUCAUUUUUUAUUGAAUUCCUAAAAACCAAUAUUUAUAAUGAAUUUUAAUAAUUUUUUCGAAUUUUUUUUAAGCUUUAUUCUGAACGAUUCACCCGAUUCCCGAUCCGGAUCGUCGAUUCACCGAUCCGGAUCGGUUUUUUGGAAGCCUGAUCCGGGUCACCGAUCCGUUUUUUAAACCAUUGGUUAGAACUAUGGGGUAUUAUUUCACAAUGAAAUCCCCUUAGAGUUUUUAAAUUGCGAAUAGGGUUUUUCCUUUUCUAGGGUUUCUAAGGAGAAAAUAAGGAGGAGAGAGGGUGGUGGGUCUAGAGCAUAGUUUGCAAUUCGGCUAUUAAUCGCCGAAUUUUUUAAAAAAUCAGAGAUUUUUUUAAAAACGUUUUACACACCGCCUUUUUGAAAAGUUGGCUAAAAAAAGCGCGCGUCUUUCAUAUAACCGUUAAAAACGCGUUUUUUAUGAGGAAAUAAAGAAACGAGGGUUUUUUUUUUUUACUUGCCAGUUUUUAGAAAGAAAAACAACUAUUUUCCUAAUCUAUCUAAUUUCUAAAAGAACAAAUUAUUUCCACAAAAAAAAUUCCGAAAAUAAAAGGUACGAUUUUUUUUUUUUUCUUCUUAAUUUCAACAUGAUGCAUAUUUCAGUGGUUAUUUUGCUAAAAAAAUACUGUGUAGAGCAUGAUUUCAAUACCCUGCAAAAAUUGUGUGCAGCAAGAAAAUACUGUGUGCAUCAAGAAAAUACAGUGUGCAGUAUGAUUUUGCAAAGAAAAUAAUUUGUCUUACAAAUACCUUAUCAGACUAAAUGCUUCAUUUGCCCUUUCGAUUUAGCUGCUGAAACGCUUCCUUUGCCCUUUCGAUUUAGCUGCUGAAACGCUUCCUUUGCCCUUUCGAUUUAGGGUUUACCUUCUGGGUUUCCUCUUCCACUUCGUAGAGUUCGUCAUUCGAUUUAGGGUUUACCUUAUUUGGAAAACAGGGGAGAUAGAGAGAGAGAUAUGCGACCAUAUAUUGUUCACCUUCUUUGAAAAACUGUGAUUACCUUCGAAAGCCAGGGGAGAUGAGUUCGCUACUCCACCUUUGCUCCCUCGAUUUACUGCCUUCC
RNAcentral lists this long non-coding RNA (9739 nucleotides) under Amborella trichopoda. Its description in RNAcentral is "long non-coding RNA (ATRI_LNC001378)". The record is from RNAcentral. Lineage: Eukaryota; Viridiplantae; Streptophyta; Magnoliopsida; Amborellales; Amborellaceae.